UACGUAGGGGGCUAGCGUUGUCCGGAAUCAUUGGGCGUAAAGAGCGUGUAGGCGGCUUGGCAAGUCUGACGUGAAAGCCCGCGGCUCAACCGCGGAUUGUCGUUGGAAACUGCCUCGCUAGAGUCCGGAAGAGGAGAGCGGAAUUCCUGGUGUAGCGGUGGAAUGCGCAGAUAUCAGGAAGAACACCCGUGGCGAAGGCGGCUCUCUGGGGACGGUACUGACGCUGAGACGCGAAAGCGUGGGGAGCGAACAGG
RNAcentral lists this ribosomal RNA (254 nucleotides) under uncultured bacterium. RNAcentral's name for it is "partial 16S ribosomal RNA". It matches the Rfam family "Bacterial small subunit ribosomal RNA", at positions 524 to 776 of the family's 1533-position model. The record is from RNAcentral.